GUGUGUCAGAUUGGUUCCUUUCAGAAAAAAAAUUUGUUUGGCUGGAAACACAUAGAGCGUGUGCGCACACGUUGUAUACAUGACGACUAGCCGCUCAGCGAUAGAUAUAAACGAAUUAACCUUUUCGUAUAUCUUGACACAUUAUAACCACAAUCGGGGAGCGCUUAUUGGUCCUUUACGUGCAGUAUUGUGAUGUCCCAUAAACAGCGUUUCUGGUUUUAUGGUUUCCACAGUCAUCACCAAUAAAGGCAGAAUCCUACUCUUGCACACGAUGUAACGUUACGCCAUUCACGCAAUAUCACAAGUCUAGGAUUGAACGACAGAAUGUACUACUGAUGCGCACUGGGAUAUUACAACACGUAAUGUAUAUUAUAUAUCUGCUGCAGAAUUAUUGGGAAAGCUCAUUCGCAAUCAUCUAUUUAUGCUGGUCAAUCAAUGAAAAACACUUCCGUUGUCAAAGGAAAAGAAAAUUUUAAUAAUGACACUUGGCAAAGGAUCUGCGCGGAUGAAACUCACUGCCCAAAAAACUAUGACAGCGUCUAUGAUGCUGAACAACGUUAGCGAAAUUGCAGCAGUAGGCUGGUAAGAAACACAAAAGCAUUCAUCAGCUUAUUUUGGCCGACAACCAUACAGACACGGACCGAAUGAGUACAUAUAAUAGGCAUUAAAAUUCACCGCAUAUCGCAUUGCAUAAUUAGCGCUCCCUUUUCUCUUGCGAAUUGUACAACCUAAUUAGCCUAAAAACAGAAUACGUUUGCUUUCAAACAACGUGAUUACAUCAUUCUUUCUCCAGAGCCGCUGUUUCUCUCUGCAUCAAGGCGUACCAGCGUAUUGGAACUUCUGGUUGUAAUGGCAGGACGCAUCACAGCAUUUCUUCUCAUGUGUGCCGUGUUCGCCUACGGCAUCAUGGCCAUUGCAGCCAAUCAGGAUUCUACAGCACGAGGAAGUUCGGUGCCGGCGAGUGCUCCCAAUGAAGAUGCAAGAAUCGGAACAGCUGCGAUCCAAAGCUUGGCGGGUGGAGGCCUCGGCUGAAACUCACGUGAUUGGCUGCACCGAGAGACCCGCCCGAGAGAAACGACUUUUGUCGCGGGCUCGGUUUAUUUCUUAGCUAGUGCAUUUUCACCGCUCAAAUGUAAUAAAUGUCGGUACAUUA
Dermacentor andersoni is the source of this 1153-nucleotide non-coding RNA. Lineage: Eukaryota; Metazoa; Arthropoda; Arachnida; Ixodida; Ixodidae. The record is from RefSeq and is a predicted model, not a curated record.